ACGCUGGCGGCACGCCUAACACAUGCAAGUCGAACGAAGUAGCAAUACUUAGUGGCAGACGGGUGAGUAACAUGUAGGUAUCUGCCCUUUGGCCUGGAAUAACACGAGGAAACUUGUGCUAAUACCGGAUAAGUCUUUACGGAGAAAGCUUUAUGCACCAAUUGGAUGAGCCUGCACUUGAUUAGUUUGUUGGUAGGGUAAUGGCCUACCAAGACUGUGAUCAAUAGCUGAUUUGAGAGGAUGAUCAGCCACAUUGGGACUGAGACACGGCCCAAACUCCUACGGGAGGCAGCAGUGGGGAAUCUUGCACAAUGGAGGAAACUCUGAUGCAGCGAUGCCGCGUGAGUGAAGAAGGCCCUUGGGUUGUAAAGCUCUUUCGUCGGGGAAGAAAAUGACUGUACCCGAAUAAGAAGGUCCGGCUAACUUCGUGCCAGCAGCCGCGGUAAUACGAAGGGACCUAGCGUAGUUCGGAAUUACUGGGCUUAAAGAGUUCGUAGGUGGUUGAAAAAGUUGGUGGUGAAAUCCCAGAGCUUAACUCUGGAACUGCCAUCAAAACUUUUCAGCUAGAGUUUGAUAGAGGAAAGCAGAAUUUCUAGUGUAGAGGUGAAAUUCGUAGAUAUUAGAAAGAAUACCAAUUGCGAAGGCAGCUUUCUGGAUCAUUACUGACACUGAGGAACGAAAGCAUGGGUAGCGAAGAGGAUUAGAUACCCUCGUAGUCCAUGCCGUAAACGAUGUGUGUUAGACGUUGGAAAUUUAUUUUCAGUGUCGCAGCGAAAGCGAUAAACACACCGCCUGGGGAGUACGACCGCAAGGUUAAAACUCAAAUGAAUUGACGGGGACCCGCACAAGUAGUGGAGCAUGUGGUUUAAUUCGAAGAUACGCGCAGAACCUUACCAACACUUGACAUGUUCGUCGCGACUCUAAGAGAUUAGAGUUUUCGGUUCGGCCGGACGAAACACAGGUGCUGCAUGGCUGUCGUCAGCUCGUGUCGUGAGAUGUUGGGUUAAGUCCCGCAACGAGCGCAACCCUCACUUUUGGUUGCCAUCAUUAAGUUGGGCACUCUGAAAGAACUGCCAGUGAUAAGCUGGAGGAAGGUGGGGAUGACGUCAAGUCCUCAUGGCCCUUACGUGUUGGGCUACACACGUGCUACAAUGGUAUCUACAACAGGAAGCAAGACGGCGACGUUAAGCAAAUCCUUAAAAGAUACCUCAGUUCGGAUUGCACUCUGCAACUCGAGUGCAUGAAGCUGGAAUUACUAGUAAUCGUGGAUCAGCGUGCCACGGUGAAUGCGUUCCCGGGUCUUGUACACACCGCCCGUCACACCAUGGGAGUUGGUUCUACCUUAAGGCAAGGCUUUAAACCCUUGACCACGGUAUAGUCAGCGACUGGGGUGAAGUCGUAACAAGGUAGCCGUAGGGGAACCUGCGGCUGGAUUACCUCCUUUCU
This 1446-nucleotide ribosomal RNA is filed under the name uncultured marine bacterium. Its description in RNAcentral is "16S ribosomal RNA". It matches the Rfam family "Bacterial small subunit ribosomal RNA". The record is from RNAcentral.